AUUGAACGCUGGCGGCAUGCUUUACACAUGCAAGUCGAACGGUAACAGGUUAAGCUGACGAGUGGCGAACGGGUGAGUAACGCAUCGGAACGUGCCCGAUCGUGGGGGAUAACGCAGCGAAAGCUGCGCUAAUACCGCAUACGAUCUGAGGAUGAAAGCGGGGGACCGUAAGGCCUCGCGCGAUCGGAGCGGCCGAUGUCAGAUUAGGUAGUUGGUGGGGUAAAGGCUCACCAAGCCGACGAUCUGUAGCUGGUCUGAGAGGACGACCAGCCACACUGGGACUGAGACACGGCCCAGACUCCUACGGGAGGCAGCAGUGGGGAAUUUUGGACAAUGGGCGCAAGCCUGAUCCAGCAAUGCCGCGUGCAGGAAGAAGGCCUUCGGGUUGUAAACUGCUUUUGUACGGAGCGAAAAGGUCCUUUCUAAUACAGAGGGCUCAUGACGGUACCGUAAGAAUAAGCACCGGCUAACUACGUGCCAGCCGCCGCCGUAA
This 493-nucleotide ribosomal RNA is filed under the name uncultured bacterium. Its description in RNAcentral is "partial 16S ribosomal RNA". It matches the Rfam family "Bacterial small subunit ribosomal RNA", at positions 30 to 523 of the family's 1533-position model. The record is from RNAcentral.